UGGGGAAUAUUGCACAAUGGGCGCAAGCCUGAUGCAGCCAUGCCGCGUGUGUGAAGAAGGCCUUCGGGUUGUAAAGCACUUUCAGCGGGGAGGAAGGCGUUAAGGUUAAUAACCUUGGCGAUUGACGUUACCCGCAGAAGAAGCACCGGCUAACUCCGUGCCAGCAGCCGCGGUAAUACGGAGGGUGCAAGCGUUAAUCGGAAUUACUGGGCGUAAAGCGCACGCAGGCGGUCUGUCAAGUCGGAUGUGAAAUCCCCGGGCUCAACCUGGGGACUGCAUUCGAAACUGGCAGGCUAGAGUCUUGUAGAGGGGGGUAGAAUUCCAGGUGUGGCGGUGAAAUGCGUAGAGAUCUGGAGGAAUACCGGUGGCGAAGGCGGCCCCCUGGACAAAGACUGACGCUCAGGUGCGAAAGCGUGGGGAGCAAACAGG
RNAcentral lists this ribosomal RNA (429 nucleotides) under Chloroflexota bacterium. RNAcentral describes it as "Chloroflexi bacterium partial 16S ribosomal RNA". It matches the Rfam family "Bacterial small subunit ribosomal RNA", at positions 355 to 776 of the family's 1533-position model. Lineage: Bacteria; Bacillati; Chloroflexota. The record is from RNAcentral.